RNAcentral lists this ribosomal RNA (492 nucleotides) under uncultured bacterium. RNAcentral's name for it is "partial 16S ribosomal RNA". It matches the Rfam family "Bacterial small subunit ribosomal RNA", at positions 29 to 507 of the family's 1533-position model. The record is from RNAcentral.
AGUGAACGCUGGCGGUAGGCCUAACACAUGCAAGUCGAACGGCAGCACAGUAAGAGCUUGCUCUUACGGGUGGCGAGUGGCGGACGGGUGAGGAAUACAUCGGAAUCUACUUUUUCGUGGGGGAUAACGUAGGGAAACUUACGCUAAUACCGCAUACGACCUACGGGUGAAAGCAGGGGAUCUUGGGACCUUGCGCGAUUGAAUGGGCCGAUGUCGGAUUAGCUAGUUGGCGGGGUAAUGGCCCACCAAGGCGACGAUCCGUGGCUGGUCUGAGAGGAUGAUCAGCCACACUGGAACUGAGACACGGUCCAGACUCCUACGGGAGGCAGCAGUGGGGAAUAUUGGACAAUGGGCGCAAGCCUGAUCCAGCCAUACCGCGUGGGUGAAGAAGGCCUUCGGGUUGUAAAGCCCUUUUGUUGGGAAAGAAAAGCAGCAGGUUAAUACCCCGCUGUUCUGACGGUACCCAAAGAAUAAGCACCGGCUAACUUCGUG